UCUUCAGGUUCUCUCAACAUGGAGACAGGAAUAAGGCAGACACAGGGACAAAGAAACCAACAAUACUUGAACACUGCAAUCAACUGAUUUACAACCCUCUGUAUUCAAGUGGCUAGAGUACUACCAUGUGUUUUGUGCUUAUGGGUUAAUGUUUACAGUACAGAAUAAAACCAAGUGCUGUGAUAGGUUGAAACAAACCAGGCUUCCUUUCAAGCCCAUGGGACAGAUGGAGAGAUUAUGAGUUUCUCUGACUUUGGCAUAGGAAGGGAUAGUGUAGCC
Molecule: long non-coding RNA, 279 nt
Organism: Physella acuta
Lineage: Eukaryota; Metazoa; Mollusca; Gastropoda; Physidae
Source: RefSeq, a predicted model, not a curated record